UCCACCAUCGAUUUCCUUCUCAGUCAUUCUCGGUCCACCAGUAGCAACCGUCGAUCCACCAUCGCUGGCCACAAUAGCUAUCGUAUGUUGAGAGCAGAAAUCAGAGUAUCGGAAGAGGACUCAGACAUUUCUGAACGGCCAAAAAAAUCUCUCUCGGAUAAUCAAUUUCCAGAGGCUUCUCCAUCUCCAUCUUCUCUCAGUCGCACCAUCUCCGACCAUCGGUGGCCGCCGCUCAUCCUUCUUCACCGACUGCCACAGGUUCCAAAUCUGCAGAGUGUUACGCGGUAAAUGUGAAGGACUCGACGCGGUGGUGAAGAUACAGGAAGAGGCAGUCAAUUGCAGAGUCUUGCCCGGUGACGACGUACGCAGAAUGAAGUAUUAAUAUUAUACAUGCUUAAGUAUUUCGCCGAUGACACAUUCUAGUAAGGUCAGAUUGAUCGGAUACCGAUGGAAAGGUGAAACGGUGGGCAUGGGUUAUAUGAUCAACGCCGUCGAAAAAAGACAGUCGCUGCCUUGCUUUGCCAUGUUCAUAGAACUUACAUUUCACAUGACUGAGAGGAGACCGCCAUAACUGUUGCUGAGUCAUUUAUGAAAUCUAGCUGCAUUCAUUGUA
Molecule: long non-coding RNA, 613 nt
Organism: Syzygium oleosum
Lineage: Eukaryota; Viridiplantae; Streptophyta; Magnoliopsida; Myrtales; Myrtaceae
Exons: 3
Source: RefSeq, a predicted model, not a curated record